GAUAGUUUACAAGAGAAGUAGAGAACUGCCGAAUACCCACCGGCCACCGAGACGCGGAGCUGCGAUUGCGAAGGCCGAACGAAGGGAGACCGUUACUCUGUGAAAGCUGAGAGACUGAGAGGCGGAGGCCGGAGAGUCAGAGACUAAAUCGGAGAGAGGCGACUAGCGAGUAGCGAGAGCGAAACUGAGAGAGACAGAUAAUCGAGACUCGAAAGAACUAAGAGAAAAGGAAUCGGG
RNAcentral lists this long non-coding RNA (237 nucleotides) under Panax ginseng (ginseng). RNAcentral describes it as "long non-coding RNA (PGIN_LNC010915)". Lineage: Eukaryota; Viridiplantae; Streptophyta; Magnoliopsida; Apiales; Araliaceae. The record is from RNAcentral.